This 981-nucleotide ribosomal RNA is filed under the name Darkera picea. Its description in RNAcentral is "SSU rRNA". It matches the Rfam family "Eukaryotic small subunit ribosomal RNA", at positions 92 to 1081 of the family's 1831-position model. The record is from RNAcentral. Lineage: Eukaryota; Fungi; Ascomycota; Leotiomycetes; Phacidiales; Phacidiaceae.
AAUGGCUCAUUAAAUCAGUUAUCGUUUAUUUGAUAGUACCUUACUACUUGGAUAACCGUGGUAAUUCUAGAGCUAAUACAUGCUAAAAACCUCGACUUCGGAAGGGGUGUAUUUAUUAGAUAAAAAACCAAUGCCCUUCGGGGCUCCUUGGUGAUUCAUAAUAACUUAACGAAUCGCAUGGCCUUGUGCCGGCGAUGGUUCAUUCAAAUUUCUGCCCUAUCAACUUUCGAUGGUAGGAUAGUGGCCUACCAUGGUUUCAACGGGUAACGGGGAAUUAGGGUUCUAUUCCGGAGAGGGAGCCUGAGAAACGGCUACCACAUCCAAGGAAGGCAGCAGGCGCGCAAAUUACCCAAUCCCGACACGGGGAGGUAGUGACAAUAAAUACUGAUACAGGGCUCUUUUGGGUCUUGUAAUUGGAAUGAGUACAAUUUAAAUCCCUUAACGAGGAACAAUUGGAGGGCAAGUCUGGUGCCAGCAGCCGCGGUAAUUCCAGCUCCAAUAGCGUAUAUUAAAGUUGUUGCAGUUAAAAAGCUCGUAGUUGAACCUUGGGCCUGGCUGGCCGGUCCGCCUCACCGCGUGCACUGGUCCGGCCGGGUCUUUCCUUCUGGGGAGCCGCAUGCCCUUCACUGGGUGUGUCGGGGAACCAGGACUUUUACUUUGAAAAAAUUAGAGUGUUCAAAGCAGGCCUAUGCUCGAAUACAUUAGCAUGGAAUAAUAGAAUAGGACGUGUGGUUCUAUUUUGUUGGUUUCUAGGACCGCCGUAAUGAUUAAUAGGGAUAGUCGGGGGCAUCAGUAUUCAAUUGUCAGAGGUGAAAUUCUUGGAUUUAUUGAAGACUAACUACUGCGAAAGCAUUUGCCAAGGAUGUUUUCAUUAAUCAGUGAACGAAAGUUAGGGGAUCGAAGACGAUCAGAUACCGUCGUAGUCUUAACCAUAAACUAUGCCGACUAGGGAUCGGGCGAUGUUAUCUUUUUGACUCGCUC